AUUGUUUCCAUCCUGGAAUAUUCUGAAACAACUGCGCCUGGUCCACCACGCCUAUUAUUUAUUUUCUCUUCUCCUGCCAGGAAUGUGAGGCCAAAGAUGACCAUUUAUGUCUGUCAGGAGCUGGAGCAGAAUCGAGUGCCCCUGCAGCAGAAGCGGGACGGCAGUGGUGACAGCAACCUGUGUGUGUACCACGCCAUCUUCCUGGAAGAGCUGACCACCUUGGAGCUGAUUGAGAAGAUCGCCAACCUGUACAGCAUCUCCCCCCAGCACAUCCACCGAGUCUACCGGCAGGGCCCCACGGGCAUCCAUGUGGUGGUGAGCAACGAGAUGGUGCAGAAUUUCCAAGAUGAAUCCUGUUUUGUCCUCAGCACAAUUAAAGCUGAGAGCAAUGACGGCUACCACAUCAUCCUGAAAUGUGGACUCUGAGCAGCAGUGGGCCUCGUACCUAUCUCCAGCUCCCAGCCCUGUGGAUCCCCAUGGAUGUAGAAAUUGCCCCACUGUAAGCUGUGGCCUCACCAGGCAAGCUGAGGCCAGGAGGGACCCUACCCAGUCUGUGAAAGCUACAGAGCACCAACCAGCAGAAGCCUGUGGACACCAAGUACG
RNAcentral lists this small RNA (603 nucleotides) under Pongo abelii (Sumatran orangutan). Its description in RNAcentral is "retained intron". Lineage: Eukaryota; Metazoa; Chordata; Mammalia; Primates; Hominidae. The record is from RNAcentral.